This 109-nucleotide ribosomal RNA is filed under the name Sus scrofa (pig). The record is from RNAcentral. Lineage: Eukaryota; Metazoa; Chordata; Mammalia; Artiodactyla; Suidae.
GUCUAUGGCCAUACCACCUUGAACGCGCCCAAUCUCAUCUGAUCACAGAAACAAAGCAGGGUUAGGGGUGGUUAGUACUUGGAUAGAGGAAUUAGCAUUUUAACAGGCU